This 1515-nucleotide ribosomal RNA is filed under the name Triticum aestivum (bread wheat). RNAcentral's name for it is "partial small subunit ribosomal RNA". The record is from RNAcentral. Lineage: Eukaryota; Viridiplantae; Streptophyta; Magnoliopsida; Poales; Poaceae.
AUGGCAUCGUCAGUGCUGGAGGCCACACGAGCGGCGCACGAGGACAUCGAGCGGUUAGAACGCCUGGUGGUGCGCGAGCUGCAGCGAGAUCCCGCCAAUGCCCGUGACCGCCUCUUCCAGUCCCACCGCGUCCGCCACAUGCUCGACCUCGUCAUCUCCACCUCCGACAAGCUCGUUGAAAUCUACGAAGACAAGGACGGUGCUAGGAAGGAUGAGAUCUCCUCCCAUCUUACCGCGCCGGUGCAAAGCGACAUCUUCCCCAAGUACUAUGAAAGGCUCAAAGAGAUCCGUGAUUACCAUAGGCGGAAUCACUCUGCCCGUUUCAUCAGCGAAACUGACGAUUAUGAGGAGCUACUAAAGGAGGAACCGGCUAUUGAAUUCACUGGGUUGUUUGAUUCCUCUUGUAGGAUCACGGUGCUAUGCAUGGAGGCAUUUGGCCGGUACUUGGACUUACAUGAGCUCUACAAUGAGUUCAUAAAUUCCAAGUUUGGAUCGCUAAUGGAAUACUCAGCAUACGUUGGUACUUUUGCUCAGACUGAAAAAAUCUUGCAUAGUCUAAAAGCUACCAGGCAAUACAAAGAAUAUUUGGAGCAUAUUUUGGAAUACCUGAUGUCAUUUAUGUAUCGUACAGAGCCAUUGCAAGAUAUUGAUAAAAUUUUUACAAAGUUGCAAAGUGAGUUCGAAGAACAGUGGGCCAAUGGCGAAGUACCUGGAUGGGAGAAUAAGGGCACAGAGAAAAAAUCUGAAUCGCAAGAGUCUGCAGUAGACCUCGAUUACUACAAUAUUGUUGAAGAGCUUGUAGAGCUUGGUCCGGAAAAGUUGAAAGAGGCUUUAACUGCUCGUGGAUUGAAGGGUGGCGGCACUGUUCAACAGCGUGCUGAGCGCCUUUUCUUGCUGAAGCAUACACCCUUGGAACAAUUGGAUCGUAAGCAUUUUGCCAAAGGUGAUGAUUUGAAGAAGGAAAUUGCUUUGGUUGAAGUGAAGAUGAAGCGCUUAUGUGAGAUUCUCGAUGAGGUCAUUGUAAGAACAAAGGAAAAUGCGGAGAAGAAGCUGACUUUGACCUAUGAAGAAAUGGAAGCAGAACGGGAAGAAGAAGAAGUACAAGCUGAUAGUGAAAGUGAUGACGAAGACCAACAAAUCUACAACCCUCUCAAGUUACCAAUGGGUUGGGACGGGAAACCUAUCCCCUAUUGGCUCUAUAAGCUUCACGGUCUUGGUCAGGAAUUCAAGUGCGAGAUAUGUGGUAACCACAGUUACUGGGGGCGAAGGGACUAUGAGCGCCAUUUCAAAGAGUGGCGCCAUCAGCAUGGGAUGCGAUGCCUUGGUAUUCCUAAUACCAAGAACUUCAACGAAAUUACAUCCAUUGAGGAGGCGAAAGCACUGUGGGAGAGGAUACAAGCAAAGCAAGGGCUGAACAAGUGGCGGCCAGACUUGGAAGAGGAGUACGAAGACAAGGAUGGCAACAUCUACAACAAAAAGACGUACACUGACCUGCAGCGCCAAGGCCUGAUAUAG